Molecule: long non-coding RNA, 867 nt
Organism: Hyla sarda
Lineage: Eukaryota; Metazoa; Chordata; Amphibia; Anura; Hylidae
Exons: 4
Source: RefSeq, a predicted model, not a curated record
GGGAAAGCGAGGACUGCUGGGAAGUGUAGUGUACAGGAGAAAGAAUAAGAAAAAGUCCAGGGAGACAUCAGGAGGUAGGUGGUGCAACAAGGAGAACUGAGACAUGCCAGAGAGCCUAGAUAAAAACAGGAAGUUCAGAUCAGUCGGACCAGACAAGAUCAGGACUGCAGUUACAGGGAAUAUACAGCUCCAUUUCAUCCAUCUUCAAAUGGACAACCAGAGCACAUGGUUCAGACUACUAAAGACGCUUUAAAGAGAAUUGUUAUAGGAGAUUGGAAUUACAGACUGGCAAAUUAUCUACUACAACAAGAUGUGACCCCAUGCUCCAGUACACGAUGCAGCCCUGCAGAACCACUGAUGAACAGGAGGAUCAGGACCUUAUUGGACAGAUUUCAUCCUGAUCUCACAUCUGAAUUGCAAAACAAGCAGGAUGUCAGACUGUCUAAAAAAUACAACUCCUCAUCCAUGCAGUGUUUUCAGGAGGGGGAUAGUGUCUAUGCCAGAAACUAUGCAAUGGGACCAAGAUGGACUCCAGCAACUGUAGUGAAAACUGCAGGAUCUGUGUCCUACAAAGUAAGAACUACUUAUGGCCACAUUCUAAGGCGGCACAUAGACCAACUAAGAAACAGAGUAGACGAAUGUAUAUUACCUGCUACUGAAAGUGAUCCAAACCCUAAGGCACCGACAGUUCAGACUGAUGACCUACAUCCCCUGAUAUUAAAUAAGGCAGUAAUAUAAUCCGGCAUUAUUUGUGAAGAUAAAGAGGAAGCCAAGAUGACUAGAUGGAGACAGAUAAGCAGCAGCUUAUCUCCUAUGGCAACAGCAGGUUAGCCUUGCAAAGGAUGAUGUAUAAACCACUAAGAAAGA